RNAcentral lists this long non-coding RNA (236 nucleotides) under Lathyrus oleraceus (garden pea). Its description in RNAcentral is "Pisum sativum (pea) long non-coding RNA (PSAT_LNC003676)". The record is from RNAcentral. Lineage: Eukaryota; Viridiplantae; Streptophyta; Magnoliopsida; Fabales; Fabaceae.
AUUGAUCAGUUGGUGACUUGACCUGUUGGUGACUAUUGGUUCCCGUUGGUGACUUGGUUCAGAGAUAUGGGUCUCAGAUGACUUUGGGUUUCAGAUGAAUUUGUGGUCCCGAGUUCAAGUCGAAGCUUAGAUCCUGUGCUCCGAGAUACACAGCCAACCAGUCUUGUCUGCAUCAUUUGCAUCAUAGCAUGUUUAUUUUCAAAAAAAAAAAUACGCAAUAAAAAAUUGAAAAAUCA